This is a long non-coding RNA of Rosa rugosa (rugosa rose), 1380 nucleotides long. RefSeq lists it as uncharacterized. The transcript has 3 exons. The record is from RefSeq and is a predicted model, not a curated record. NCBI's taxonomy places the organism in Eukaryota, Viridiplantae, Streptophyta, Magnoliopsida, Rosales, Rosaceae.
UAUGCUUCAAAUUCUAUAGUAGAAAUACUUUAUACUGCAUCCCAAACUUUUUUGCUGAGAGCCUUGGUAUUUGUAUAAUAUAUAGAUCAAAUAUAUAAUUGAAGGCCAGGAAACAAUGGUGGAAUAUUUUCACACUUUUUCAUAUAAAAAAAUAUCUCAUACUUGCUUCAACACUGAUGGGCAUUAAGAUUGAGCAAAACAAAUGCUAGCUAAUGAGAUCAUUUUUGUCUUUCUUUUAGUUGGCAUCUACGGAAUUGCAUUCAACAAACAAGAACAACGGAAUAGCAUAACCUUUCACAGGUUGGGUAAUCUUGGUUUUGUCCUAUGGAACUAUUUUCAUUGUAGCUCUUAUUUUAUCUAUCUGCUGAUCCGUAUAUUUUUUUCUAUUAGCUCCUUGUGGUUGAAGUUCAUUCCCCUGUAGUAUUAGUUUCUUUGUGUAUAUAUAUAAUUGCUCCAGAUACAAACCAACUAUGUUCCUCUACUAUAAUUGGUAAAGCCCAAGUUGAACUUUUUGAUUUAUAAUGUCUUAUUCAUCUUAAACAUGCAUUUCAAUGUAGGUAUUGAUCCCAAAAUGGGUCGAGAGCUAGUAGCUCCUCAGGUUAUCAAGCAAUCAGGUCAAAGUUUUUAAACUAGUUCUUUUAUUCAAUAUACUAUGGAGUUCACAGUUUCGUUUGAAGCUUUUCAAUUAUAGUGCUUUAUGACCAGGAAGGCAAUGGUAUUCUUGAAACUUUGUUGAAUGAGUUUAAGUACCCAAGCAGAUAUUGGAAUGCGUGUUCACACAAUUGCGAUACCUUUUAAGUUGGAUAUAAUUCUUUGAUUUUUGUUAUGUUUUAUUUGUUGUAAUUAAAAAGGAGAAAGUGGAGAAAAUAAGAGACGCAGUAGAGAAAUAAGCCUUUGGUAAUUAUUAGCUUAUAUUGUCAUGUAUUUAUAUAUGUAUGUGUAUGUAUAUUUGUAAGGAAGGCAUAGAGAAAUGAAAUUGGAAUCAGUUCUGAAAUUUCAAAGAAUUUAGCUUGUUGUAUGCCUCCAAGAUCUUAUAGUGACGAUGAGUUCAAGGUUAUUUAACAGACUUUGAGCAAGCUCAAGGUUUGAAAUGGUGGGGGAGUUGAGCAAUUACUCAAGUACUGUAAUGGUGUUUCGUCAAUGUACAAGAUAUACUUACUGCAUUGCUGGUUCACUCCCAAAUAAGUGGCGAAGUGACUCAACAUCAAAAGUUUUGAAGCUGUUUUAGAGAAGUAAUAGAGUAGUUUUAUUUUAUUAUUAUUAUUCUUAUUCUAUUAAGAUUUGUAUCACAGUACACAAGGUAGGAAAACUUGUUGGCAUAGACAAUGCAGUAGGUGUGUAAUUUUAUGAAUGCCACACUGUAUUUUGAUUGUUUUGAGA